RNAcentral lists this ribosomal RNA (422 nucleotides) under uncultured bacterium. Its description in RNAcentral is "bacterial SSU rRNA". It matches the Rfam family "Bacterial small subunit ribosomal RNA", at positions 355 to 774 of the family's 1533-position model. The record is from RNAcentral.
UAAGGAAUAUUGGUCAAUGGACGCAAGUCUGAACCAGCCAUGCCGCGUGGAGGAUUAAGGCCCUCUGGGUUGUAAACUCCUUUUAUCUGGGAAGAAAUGUACUUUUUCUUGAGUACUUGACGGUACCAGAGGAAUAAGCACCGGCUAACUCCGUGCCAGCAGCCGCGGUAAUACGGAGGGUGCAAGCGUUAUCCGGAUUCACUGGGUUUAAAGGGUGCGUAGGUGGGCAGGUAAGUCAGUGGUGAAAUCCACGAGCUUAACUUGGGAACUGCCAUUGAUACUAUAUAUCUUGAAUACCGUAGAGGUAAGCGGAAUAUGUCAUGUAGCGGUGAAAUGCUUAGAUAUGACAUGGAACACCAAUUACGAAGGCAGCUUACUAUGCGGUGAUUGACACUGAGGCACGAAAGCGUGGGUAGCAAACA